Molecule: ribosomal RNA, 385 nt
Filed under: uncultured bacterium
Lineage: Bacteria
Description: bacterial SSU rRNA
Rfam family: Bacterial small subunit ribosomal RNA
Source: RNAcentral
GAUGAACGCUAGCGGCAGGCUUAACACAUGCAAGUCGAGCGGGGUUUUCGGACCUAGCGGCGGACGGGUGAGUAAUGCGUAGGAAGCUACCCGAUAGAGGGGGAUACCAGUUGGAAACGACUGUUAAUACCGCAUAAUGUCUACGGACCAAAGUGUGGGACCCUCGGGCCACAUGCUAUCGGAUGCGCCUACGUGGGAUUAGCUAGUUGGUGAGGGUAAUGGCUCACCAAGGCGACGAUCUCUAGCUGGUUCGAGAGGAUGAUCAGCCACACUGGAACUGAGACACGGUCCAGACUCCUACGGAGGCAGCAGUGGGGAAUAUUGGACAAUGGGCGCAAGCCUGAUCCAGCCAUGCCGCGUGUGUGAAGAAGGCCUCGGUUGUAAG